ACGCUGGCGGCAGGCCUAACACAUGCAAGUCGAGCGGUAGAGAGAAGCUUGCUUCUCUUGAGAGCGGCGGACGGGUGAGUAAUGCCUAGGAAUCUGCCUGGUAGUGGGGGAUAACGUUCGGAAACGGACGCUAAUACCGCAUACGUCCUACGGGAGAAAGCAGGGGACCUUCGGGCCUUGCGCUAUCAGAUGAGCCUAGGUCGGAUUAGCUAGUUGGUGGGGUAAUGGCUCACCAAGGCGACGAUCCGUAACUGGUCUGAGAGGAUGAUCAGUCACACUGGAACUGAGACACGGUCCAGACUCCUACGGGAGGCAGCAGUGGGGAAUAUUGGACAAUGGGCGAAAGCCUGAUCCAGCCAUGCCGCGUGUGUGAAGAAGGUCUUCGGAUUGUAAAGCACUUUAAGUUGGGAGGAAGGGUUGUAGAUUAAUACUCUGCAAUUUUGACGUUACCGACAGAAUAAGCGCCGGCUAACUCUGUGCCAGCAGCCGCGGUAAUACAGAGGGUGCAAGCGUUAAUCGGAAUUACUGGGCGUAAAGCGCGCGUAGGUGGUUAGUUAAGUUGGAUGUGAAAUCCCCGGGCUCAACCUGGGAACUGCAUUCAAAACUGACUGACUAGAGUAUGGUAGAGGGUGGUGGAAUUUCCUGUGUAGCGGUGAAAUGCGUAGAUAUAGGAAGGAACACCAGUGGCGAAGGCGACCACCUGGACUGAUACUGACACUGAGGUGCGAAAGCGUGGGGAGCAAACAGGAUUAGAUACCCUGGUAGUCCAA
RNAcentral lists this ribosomal RNA (770 nucleotides) under uncultured bacterium. RNAcentral describes it as "bacterial SSU rRNA". It matches the Rfam family "Bacterial small subunit ribosomal RNA", at positions 33 to 798 of the family's 1533-position model. The record is from RNAcentral.